Molecule: ribosomal RNA, 603 nt
Filed under: Melampsora laricis-populina
Lineage: Eukaryota; Fungi; Basidiomycota; Pucciniomycetes; Pucciniales; Melampsoraceae
Description: Melampsora larici-populina partial large subunit ribosomal RNA
Rfam family: Eukaryotic large subunit ribosomal RNA
Source: RNAcentral
CAAAAAGCGGAAAAGAAAAUAACCAUGAUUCCCUUAGUAACGGCGAGUGAACAGGGAAAAGCCCAAAUUUGUAAUCUGGCACUUUUUACAAGUGUCCGAGUUGUAAUUUGUAGAACUGUUAUCCGUGCUGGACCAUGUACAAGUCUGUUGAAAAGCAGCAUCAUUGAAGGUGAAAAUCCUGUAGAUGAUAUGGACUACCAGUGCAUUUGUGAUACGGUUUCUAAGAGUCGAGUUGUUUGGGAAUGCAGCUCAAAGUGGGUGGUAAAUUCCAUCUAAGGCUAAAUAUAAGUGAGAGACCGAUAGCAAACAAGUACCGUGAGGGAAAGAUGAAAAGAACUUUGAAAAUAGAGUUAACAGUACGUGAAAUUGCUGAAAGGGAAACGUUUGAAGUUAGUUUUGUAUUCGUUGGAUCAGCUUCGCAAGGAGUGUAUUCUGAUGAUAAGCAAGUCAACAUCAAUCUAUGGGUGUCGGAGAAGGGUUUUGAGAAUGUAGCAAUUUUUAUUAAUUGUGUUAUAGCUUGAGACUUGGAUACGAUGCUUUGGAUUGAGGAACGCGUAGUAAGCUUUGAGCGGAUUCGAAAGGAUCUCCUUACUAUGGAUGUUG